CUACGGGUGGCACCAGUGGGGAAUUUUGGACAAUGGACGCAAGUCUGAUCCAGCCAUUCCGCGUGCAGGAUGAAGGCCCUCGGGUUGUAAACUGCUUUUGUACGGAACGAAAAGGUCUCUCCUAAUACGAGGGGCUCAUGACGGUACCGUAAGAAUAAGCACCGGCUAACUACGUGCCAGCAGCCGCGGUAAUACGUAGGGUGCAAGCGGUAAUCGGAAUUACUGGGCGUAAAGCGUGCGCAGGCGGUUAUAUAAGACAGAUGUGAAAUCCCCGGGCUCAACCUGGGAACUGCAUUUGUGACUGUAUAGCUAGAGUACGGUAGAGGGGGAUGGAAUUCCGCGUGUAGCAGUGAAAUGCGUAGAUAUGCGGAGGAACACCGAUGGCGAAGGCAAUCCCCUGGACCUGUACUGACGCUCAUGCACGAAAGCGUGGGGAGCAAACAGGAUUAGAUACCCCGGUAGUC
RNAcentral lists this ribosomal RNA (464 nucleotides) under uncultured bacterium. RNAcentral describes it as "partial 16S ribosomal RNA". It matches the Rfam family "Bacterial small subunit ribosomal RNA", at positions 339 to 795 of the family's 1533-position model. The record is from RNAcentral.